Molecule: ribosomal RNA, 353 nt
Filed under: uncultured bacterium
Lineage: Bacteria
Description: bacterial SSU rRNA
Rfam family: Bacterial small subunit ribosomal RNA
Source: RNAcentral
GUAGGGGGCGAGCGUUAUCCGGAAUCAUCGGGCGUAAAGCGCGCGCAGGCGGGCUUUCAAGCGGGGCGUCGAAGCCGGGGGCUCAACCCCCGGAAGCGCCCCGAACUGGAAGCCUCGGAUGCGGCAGGGGGAGGCGGAAUUCCCGGUGUAGCGGUGAAAUGCGCAGAUAUCGGGAAGAACACCGACGGCGAAGGCAGCCUCCUGGGCCGGCAUCGACGCUGAGGCGCGAAAGCUGGGGGAGCGAACAGGAUUAGAUACCCUGGUAGUCCCAGCCGUAAACGAUGGACGCUAGGUGUGGGGGGAACGAUCCCUCCGUGCCGAAGCCAACGCAUUAAGCGUCCCGCCUGGGGAGU